CGGAUAACGGGGAGGAAGGUGGGGAUGACGUCAAGUCNUCAUGGCCUUUAUGUCCAGGGCUACACACGUGCUACAAUGGUNGGUACAAACCGUCGCAAACCCGCGAGGGGGAGCUAAUCGGAAAAAGCCGGCCUCAGUUCGGAUUGGAGUUUGCAACCCGACUCCAUGAAGCUGGAAUCGCUAGUAAUCGCAGAUCAGAACGCUGCGGUGAAUACGUUUCCCGGGCCUUGUACACACCGCCCGUCACAUCACGAAAGUGGGUGA
RNAcentral lists this ribosomal RNA (264 nucleotides) under uncultured bacterium. Its description in RNAcentral is "partial 16S rRNA". It matches the Rfam family "Bacterial small subunit ribosomal RNA", at positions 1155 to 1417 of the family's 1533-position model. The record is from RNAcentral.